CCUACGGGAGGCUGCAGUGAGGAAUAUUGGUCAAUGGGCGCGAGCCUGAACCAGCCAAGUAGCGUGAAGGAUGACUGCCCUACGGGUUGUAAACUUCGGUUAUAAAGGAAUAAAGUGAGGCACGUGUGCCUUUUUGUAUGUACUUUAUGAAUAAGGAUAGGCUAACGCCGUGCCAGCAGCCGCGGUAAUACGGAGGAUCCGAGCGUUAUCCGGAUUGAGUGGGUUAACCGGGAGCGUAGAUGGGUUGGUAAGUCAGUUGGGACAGUUUUCGGCUCCACCGGAAAAUUGCAAUUGAUACUGGCAGUCUUGUGUACAGUUGAUGUCGUCGCACUUCGUGUUGUAGCGG
RNAcentral lists this ribosomal RNA (346 nucleotides) under uncultured bacterium. RNAcentral describes it as "partial 16S ribosomal RNA". It matches the Rfam family "Bacterial small subunit ribosomal RNA", at positions 338 to 681 of the family's 1533-position model. The record is from RNAcentral.